GUAAAGGACUGGGGCCCCGCAACUGGCCUCUCCUGCCCUCUUAAGCGCAGCGCCAUUUUAGCAACGCAGAAGCCCGGCGCCGGGAAGCCUCAGCUCGCCUGAAGGCAGGUCCCCUCUGACGCCUCCGGGAGCCCAGGUUUCCCAGAGUCCUUGGGACGCAGCGACGAGUUGUGCUGCUAUCUUAGCUGUCCUUAUAGGCUGGCCAUUCCAGGUGGUGGUAUUUAGAUAAAACCACUCAAACUCUGCAGUUUGGUCUUGGGGUUUGGAGGAAAGCUUUUAUUUUUCUUCCUGCUCCGGUUCAGAAGGUCUGAAGCUCAUACCUAACCAGGCAUAACACAGAAUCUGCAAAACAAAAACCCCUAAAAAAGCAGACCCAGAGCAGUGUAAACACUUCUGGGUGUGUCCCUGACUGGCUGCCCAAGGUCUCUGUGUCUUCGGAGACAAAGCCAUUCGCUUAGUUGGUCUACUUUAAAAGGCCACUUGAACUCGCUUUCCAUGGCGAUUUGCCUUGUGAGCACUUUCAGGAGAGCCUGGAAGCUGAAAAACGGUAGAAAAAUUUCCGUGCGGGCCGUGGGGGGCUGGCGGCAACUGGGGGGCCGCAGAUCAGAGUGGGCCACUGGCAGCCAACGGCCCCCGGGGCUCAGGCGGGGAGCAGCUCUGUGGUGUGGGAUUGAGGCGUUUUCCAAGAGUGGGUUUUCACGUUUCUAAGAUUUCCCAAGCAGACAGCCCGUGCUGCUCCGAUUUCUCGAACAAAAAAGCAAAACGUGUGGCUGUCUUGGGAGCAAGUCGCAGGACUGCAAGCAGUUGGGGGAGAAAGUCCGCCAUUUUGCCACUUCUCAACCGUCCCUGCAAGGCUGGGGCUCAGUUGCGUAAUGGAAAGUAAAGCCCUGAACUAUCACACUUUAAUCUUCCUUCAAAAGGUGGUAAACUAUACCUACUGUCCCUCAAGAGAACACAAGAAGUGCUUUAAGAGAGGCAUUUCAUCCUUCAUGAAGCCAUUCAGGAUUUUGAAUUGCAUAUGAGUGCUUGGCUCUUCCUUCUGUUCUAGUGAGUGUAUGAGACCUUGCAGUGAGUUUAUCAGCAUACUCAAAAUUUUUUUCCUGGAAUUUGGAGGGAUGGGAGGAGGGGGUGGGGCUUACUUGUUGUAGCUUUUUUUUUUUUUACAGACUUCACAGAGAAUGCAGUUGUCUUGACUUCAGGUCUGUCUGUUCUGUUGGCAAGUAAAUGCAGUACUGUUCUGAUCCCGCUGCUAUUAGAAUGCAUUGUGAAACGACUGGAGUAUGAUUAAAAGUUGUGUUCCCCAAUGCUUGGAGUAGUGAUUGUUGAAGGAAAAAAUCCAGCUGAGUGAUAAAGGCUGAGUGUUGAGGAAAUUUCUGCAGUUUUAAGCAGUCGUAUUUGUGAUUGAAGCUGAGUACAUUUUGCUGGUGUAUUUUUAGGUAAAAUGCUUUUUGUUCAUUUCUGGUGGUGGGAGGGGACUGAAGCCUUUAGUCUUUUCCAGAUGCAACCUUAAAAUCAGUGACAAGAAACAUUCCAAACAAGCAACAGUCUUCAAGAAAUUAAACUGGCAAGUGGAAAUGUUUAAACAGUUCAGUGAUCUUUAGUGCAUUGUUUAUGUGUGGGUUUCUCUCUCCCCUCCCUUGGUCUUAAUUCUUACAUGCAGGAACACUCAGCAGACACACGUAUGCGAAGGGCCAGAGAAGCCAGACCCAGUAAGAAAAAAUAGCCUAUUUACUUUAAAUAAACCAAACAUUCCAUUUUAAAUGUGGGGAUUGGGAACCACUAGUUCUUUCAGAUGGUAUUCUUCAGACUAUAGAAGGAGCUUCCAGUUGAAUUCACCAGUGGACAAAAUGAGGAAAACAGGUGAACAAGCUUUUUCUGUAUUUACAUACAAAGUCAGAUCAGUUAUGGGACAAUAGUAUUGAAUAGAUUUCAGCUUUAUGCUGGAGUAACUGGCAUGUGAGCAAACUGUGUUGGCGUGGGGGUGGAGGGGUGAGGUGGGCGCUAAGCCUUUUUUUAAGAUUUUUCAGGUACCCCUCACUAAAGGCACCGAAGGCUUAAAGUAGGACAACCAUGGAGCCUUCCUGUGGCAGGAGAGACAACAAAGCGCUAUUAUCCUAAGGUCAAGAGAAGUGUCAGCCUCACCUGAUUUUUAUUAGUAAUGAGGACUUGCCUCAACUCCCUCUUUCUGGAGUGAAGCAUCCGAAGGAAUGCUUGAAGUACCCCUGGGCUUCUCUUAACAUUUAAGCAAGCUGUUUUUAUAGCAGCUCUUAAUAAUAAAGCCCAAAUCUCAAGCGGUGCUUGAAGGGGAGGGAAAGGGGGAAAGCGGGCAACCACUUUUCCCUAGCUUUUCCAGAAGCCUGUUAAAAGCAAGGUCUCCCCACAAGCAACUUCUCUGCCACAUCGCCACCCCGUGCCUUUUGAUCUAGCACAGACCCUUCACCCCUCACCUCGAUGCAGCCAGUAGCUUGGAUCCUUGUGGGCAUGAUCCAUAAUCGGUUUCAAGGUAACGAUGGUGUCGAGGUCUUUGGUGGGUUGAACUAUGUUAGAAAAGGCCAUUAAUUUGCCUGCAAAUUGUUAACAGAAGGGUAUUAAAACCACAGCUAAGUAGCUCUAUUAUAAUACUUAUCCAGUGACUAAAACCAACUUAAACCAGUAAGUGGAGAAAUAACAUGUUCAAGAACUGUAAUGCUGGGUGGGAACAUGUAACUUGUAGACUGGAGAAGAUAGGCAUUUGAGUGGCUGAGAGGGCUUUUGGGUGGGAAUGCAAAAAUUCUCUGCUAAGACUUUUUCAGGUGAACAUAACAGACUUGGCCAAGCUAGCAUCUUAGCGGAAGCUGAUCUCCAAUGCUCUUCAGUAGGGUCAUGAAGGUUUUUCUUUUCCUGAGAAAACAACACGUAUUGUUUUCUCAGGUUUUGCUUUUUGGCCUUUUUCUAGCUUAAAAAAAAAAAAAGCAAAAGAUGCUGGUGGUUGGCACUCCUGGUUUCCAGGACGGGGUUCAAAUCCCUGCGGCGUCUUUGCUUUGACUACUAAUCUGUCUUCAGGACUCUUUCUGUAUUUCUCCUUUUCUCUGCAGGUGCUAGUUCUUGGAGUUUUGGGGAGGUGGGAGGUAACAGCACAAUAUCUUUGAACUAUAUACAUCCUUGAUGUAUAAUUUGUCAGGAGCUUGACUUGAUUGUAUAUUCAUAUUUACACGAGAACCUAAUAUAACUGCCUUGUCUUUUUCAGGUAAUAGCCUGCAGCUGGUGUUUUGAGAAGCCCUACUGCUGAAAACUUAACAAUUUUGUGUAAUAAAAAUGGAGAAGCUCUAAAUUGUUGUGGUUCUUUUGUGAAUAAAAAAAUCUUGAUUGGGGAAAAAAGAUGGGUGUUCUGUGGGCUUGUUCUGUUAAAUCUGUGGUCUAUAAACACAGCACCCAUAAUUACAGCAUAAUCUUCAAGUAGGGUACGGACUUUGGGGGAUUGGUGCGAGGGUAGUGGGUGAGUGGCCUACUAAAAAGCCCAGUAACCCCCACAGGAAAAUAGGGAACUUCUUUUUAAGUAGCCUCCUUUCCACUAUUUAGUAAUUGGCUGUGAGCUGGGCUGGGGGAGAAAUGGGGCGGGGUGUGUGUGUCAUUGGAAAGCUCUCUUUUUUGUUUUUUUGAGACAGUCUCACUUUGUCCCCCAGGCUGGAGUGUAGUGGCAUGAUCUCUGCAAACUGCAACCUCCACUUCUGGGGUCCAAGUGGUUGUCCUGCUUCACCCUCCCUGUAGCUGGGACUACAGGUGCACACCACCACGCCUGGCUAAUUUUUGUAUUUUCAGUUAGAGACGUGGUUUUACCAUAUUGGCCAGGCUGGUCUCAAACUCCUGACCUCGUGUGAUCCACCCGCCUGGGCCUCUGAAAGUGCUGGGAUUACAGGUGUGAGCCACCAAGCCUGGCCGAUCCUUUUAAGUUUUUAAACCAGUUAAGCUCUUUGGUUCCCCCUCAGAGUCCCAAGGUCCUGGGUCACUCAGGAUCACAUUUUCCUUUAAUCAGUUGUCACUGGUCCCCUUUUGUCCCUUUGAACGUGCUGUGGGAUUAGUAGCAGCAUCUGGCUGUUGGAAGGACUGGCUGGGAUCUCAGGUGAAAUACCCUCCCUGGCCCUCCUUACCCUUAAGAUCUCCCUGAAAAGUCAGACCUUGCUUAUUGGAGUUUGAGAUGCAUUCUAGUAAACCCAGACCUACCAGAGAGAGGGACCCACGUCUGAAGAAUCUUCCAGCCUGGGGAACCUGUGACUGGCCACACCCUUAGCCUAAUGGAGGGGCCUCAGAAGCAGAACUACCUUUUUUUUUUUUUUUAAUGGUAUUACAUUUUGCAAAUGGAGAGGUAGACUCUGAUUGGGCCCCUUUUGACAACGCAGCAGAGCUGAGGUUUGAAUCCUAGUCAGUCAACACUUCAACCCCUAUGUUGCUGUUUCUUCAAUGUCUAGAAUGUUCUGAUAGAUGAAGCAAUGGCCCGGCAGGUCAGCAGCACACCAACCCCCAACCUACCCAGCCUGUAUAGGCCUUGGCCACAGGAGCUUUCUCUUCCCUUGAAGUGAUCUAAUGGGGGAUGGGGUAUCUGUCUCGCUGGUUAUGAAAGAAGCUGAGCUAGGUGCUCUCCUAAGUUGCUUAAGUGUCUUCUGAAUUGAUGCCCAGUCAGUUUCGUAUGGAGAAAGGUCUCUGUUUUUCCAAAGCAGAAGGUUCUGUGGAAGCACAAAUACUUUACUGGAGAGCAAAGGAGUACGAGUAGGAAUUGGGGGCCACGCACAGUGGCUCACGCCUAUAAUCCCAGGACUUUGGGAGGCCGAGGUGGGCAGAUCACCUGAGGUCAGGAGUUCGAGACCAGCCUGACCAACAUGGAGAAACCCCAUCUCUACUAAAAAUACAAAAUUAGCCGGGCGUGGUGGCGUAUGUCUGUAACCCCAGCUAUUCGAGAGGCUGAGGUAGGAGAAUCGCUUGGACCCGGGAGGCGGAGGUUGCAGUGAGCUGAGAUUGCGCCACUGCACUCCAGCCUGGGCAACAAGAGCGAAACUGUCUCAAAAAAAAAAAAAAAAGAAGAAGAAAGGCUGGGCACGGUGGCUCAAGCCUGUAAUCCCAGCACUUUGGGAGGCCGA
This 5111-nucleotide long non-coding RNA is filed under the name Homo sapiens (human). Lineage: Eukaryota; Metazoa; Chordata; Mammalia; Primates; Hominidae. The record is from RNAcentral.